AUAUAUAUUGAGAAUGGCAAAAAUCACUUUUGUAAAAUAAUAAUCAGUUAUGCAAAUGAAUUUUCCACAACAUAAAACAGGGACACUAUGUGCAUGGCCUGAAGAUGCAGAAUGAUUUUCACGACCUGAGAAAAUCCAUCACUAGCAGAGGUAUGACAGUGAGGAUGUAUCAUGUGAUCUGCAAAAGAAUAUCCUGUUUUCCACUGCAACCCAAGAUAGAACUCUCCAAACAUCUGUGAAGCUUCAAUAUAAAGCCCCUUCAUCAUAAACAUGCUACUCCAACUCAGAUAUGAAAACAUCCCCUUCUGACUCUCCACAAACUUCACAAGCUAUGCUAAUGAGUAUCUUUUCUGGAGCGCAACAGGGAAGAUGUGCCAACCAUUAGGGAGAAGACAGGCAAUCCAAGGAGAGGUGAAAAGGUCUUCCGGUGAAACACUCCUCCAGGAAAUUACCAUGUUUUUUCUUCGAUAACAUAUGUUUUCUAGCUGAUAAACAACAUGCUGCUUAUUUAGUUUGUAACAUUUUGGUGGGGUGAAUUUUUAACCCUAUCUUAAGUUUAAGUUGUAACUAUGACUAAAAUGACUCAUAAAGUGAAACUGAUUAGUA
Molecule: long non-coding RNA, 606 nt
Organism: Carassius gibelio (silver crucian carp)
Lineage: Eukaryota; Metazoa; Chordata; Actinopteri; Cypriniformes; Cyprinidae
Exons: 3
Source: RefSeq, a predicted model, not a curated record